UGACGGACAUUCUUUUUUAAUUCUCAUUAAAGUCGUUUCGGGUGCAGUGUCGCGACACAAGUUGCUAAUUAGUACAGAUUUUCUAGAUACGUUGGAAACUAAUGUUAGACGAGGCAUAGUGACGAUUAAGCCGAUUUCUGAACAAACAAUCGACGAUGAUGAUGUGUUUGAGAUAUUUCAGAUUGACGUAGAAGGUAUAUACGGGCUGAAUGAGAUAGAUGUAGAACGUAUCCAAGAUCCUAAAUGUAGACGCGCCGUUGCAAUGUUAAUUAAAGAUUACAGGCCGAAUCAAGCGCGUGAGACGUAUAUAAAAAUGACUAUUAUUGUGAAAGACGAAUCCGUGUGUCAGCGUGCGAGGCGUUUAUCACCAUUCGAAAAGAAUAUUGUUAACAAUCAAAUCAAAAAGUGAGAAAGGCAAGGGAUUAUUCGCCCUUCCUCCUCUGACUAUGUUAGCCCAACUGUCCAGGGAUGGCUCGUAUCGACUUUGUGUAGACUAUAGACUAUUAAAUAAAAAGAUAAUAAAAGACCGGUAUCCUUUGCCGCUGAUUGAAGAUCAGCUCGAUAGAUUACAGAGCGCUAAAGUUUACAUUGAUUUGAAGAACGGUUUUUUCAUGUACGAGUGGAUGAGGCAAGCGUGAAAUAUACCGCGUUCAUCGUUCCUGAUGGCCACUACUAAUUUUUGAGGGUAUCUUUCAGUCUCUGCAAUUCGCCCUCCGUUUUCCAGAGGUAUGUUAACGCGAUCUUUAGGAAUUUAGUAAUGGACGAGAUAUAACGUUAAUUUACAUGGAUGAUUUGAUUAUGUUCUCUAACGAUUUUGAUGAUGAUCUAAGAAAUCUUACGAGGGUAAUCUAUACUGCUAAUCGCGUUGGCUUGUUGAUAAAUUGGCACAAAUAUUGCUUCUUGAAGGGAAAGGUCGAAUUUCUUGGACAUGUGAUAGGCGGUGGUUGCGUCCGACCAUCUGAAUGUAAGACCGAAGCUGUAAGAUAUUUCCCUAUACCCAAAACCAUUCGUCAGAUACAAGAGUUUUUAGGACGGGGUAUUUUCGUAAAUUCGUUCCAAGAUACGCGGCGAUUGCGCGGCUGUUGUCCGAUCUUUUGAGGGCGCAAGCUAGUUUUCGUUUCGAAGCGGCGGAGAGAAAUGCAUUUAGAUAACUAAAGAUUUUUUUAUGUGAUCAUCCGGUGUUAAGUUUAUACCGCGUAGGCGUCGAGACCGAAUUACAUACAGAUGCGUUAAAAUAUGGUUACGGGGAAAUUCUCUUACAGCAAAAUAGCGAGGUUAGUUGUUACAUCCUAUUUACUACGCGAGCGGUAAAACUACAUUAGCGGAGGAGAAAUAUUCAAGCUAUGACUUGGAAGUCCUCGCAAUUAUUAAAGCAUUUAAGCGAUUCCGCACCUAUUUACUCGGUAUAGAUUUUAAAAUUAUAACUGACUAUCGUGCGUUUGCGCUUACGAUGAGCAAAAAAGAUAUCUGUGUGCGUAAGUCCGAUGGGCUUUGUUGUUGGAGGAAUUUUGUUAUACAGUGGAGCACCGGUCGGGUAUGCUGCAUGUAGACGCGCUGAGCGCGGAACCUUCUCCCUUCUUGUUAACGAAUGUGAAAAGGGAUUGAUGGCUCGUUUCAAGAAAGCUCAACAAGGAGACGACGAGAUGAGAUGGAUUUCGGACUCUGUGAGAUAAGGACGAGCAAACAAUUAUGCUUUGCGAGGAGGACUCCUGUAUAAGGAGGUUGAGGAUGAGUCACGCCUUGUUAUGUUUAAUUUAAUACAAAUGCAGAUAAUACGAAAAGUACAUGAAGACAUUUUGCGGCCGCUAAAACGGAAGCGCUGCUGUGCAAUGAUUAUUGGAUUCCGGGGUUGCGAUCUAAGGUAGAAAUGGCCAUACGUAAUCGCGUCGCGAACGGAAGCAAGGGAAGCAGGAAGAAGAAUAAUUUCGGAUAGGAACGCCGCGUUUACUUCCAAGGAGUUCGAGGAAUAUUGUCGGCAUGAAGGCAUUGAACAUCCUCUGAUUAUUAUCACAAGGUAACGGACAAGUUGAAAGGGUCAACCGGACGUUAAUCCCGCUACUGACGAAGUUGUCCGCUCCAAAAGCUGACGAGUGGUACAAACAUUUGAAUACGGCGCAGCAAUGUUUGAAUACUACGUUGAAUAGAAGCAUUGGCAUGGCGUCAUUUCUUCUUUUGUUCGGUGUCAA
Odontomachus brunneus is the source of this 2186-nucleotide long non-coding RNA. RefSeq lists it as uncharacterized. NCBI's taxonomy places the organism in Eukaryota, Metazoa, Arthropoda, Insecta, Hymenoptera, Formicidae. The record is from RefSeq and is a predicted model, not a curated record. The transcript is spliced from 2 exons.